AUACGUAGGGUGCGAGCGUUGUCCGGAAUUACUGGGCGUAAAGAGCUCGUAGGUGGUUUGUCGCGUCGUCUGUGAAAUUCCGGGGCUUAACUCCGGGCGUGCAGGCGAUACGGGCAUAACUUGAGUACUGUAGGGGAGACUGGAAUUCCUGGUGUAGCGGUGAAAUGCGCAGAUAUCAGGAGGAACACCGGUGGCGAGGGCGGGUCUCUGGGCAGUAACGGACGCUGAGGAGCGAAAGCAUGGGUAGCGAACAGGAUUAGAUACCCUGGUAGUCCAUGCCGUAAACGGUGGGCGCUAGGUGUAGGGGUCUUCCACGACUUCUGUGCCGUAGCUAACGCAUUAAGCGCCCCGCCUGGGGAGUACGGCCGCAAGGCUAAAACUCAAAUGAAUUGACGGGG
Molecule: ribosomal RNA, 398 nt
Filed under: uncultured bacterium
Lineage: Bacteria
Description: partial 16S ribosomal RNA
Rfam family: Bacterial small subunit ribosomal RNA
Source: RNAcentral